RNAcentral lists this unclassified non-coding RNA (351 nucleotides) under soil metagenome. Its description in RNAcentral is "partial contains 5.8S ribosomal RNA, internal transcribed spacer 2, and large subunit ribosomal RNA". The stretch from base 1 to 120 matches the Rfam family "5.8S ribosomal RNA", at positions 35 to 154 of the family's 154-position model. The record is from RNAcentral.
GAUGAAGAACGCAGUGAAAUGCGAUAAGUAAUGUGAAUUGCAGAAUUCAGUGAAUCAUCGAAUCUUUGAACGCACAUUGCGCCCGCCAGUAUUCUGGCGGGCAUGCCUGUUCGAGCGUCAUUACAACCCUCAGGCCCCCGGGCCUGGCGUUGGGGAUCGGCAGAAGCCCCCUGUGGGCACACGCCGUCCCUCAAAUACAGUGGCGGUCCCGCCGCAGCUUCCAUUGCGUAGUAGCUAACACCUCGCAACUGGAGAGCGGCGCGGCCAUGCCGUAAAACACCCAACUUCUGAAUGUUGACCUCGAAUCAGGUAGGAAUACCCGCUGAACUUAAGCAUAUCAAAAGCGGAGGA